AUGCAGCAGAGCACCCGCCCUGUUAUCAAGGCAGACACCACUGAUGCCGCGGUUGAAAGGAUUCUCGGUGAACUUGGGGCGGACACUGGAACAAGCACCAACAAAGAGAAUGUCAUCUACUUUGAUGGCUGGGACGGGCUUGGGGCAUCUGCUGUCCUGCAAGCUGUAGCCAAACACCUCAGAGUAUCAAAUGAGCCAUCAACAAGGCCUGCAGGGCUUGAGUUUGAGAAAAUCAUCCACAAUGACUGCUCAAAGUGGGAGAGCAGAAGAGCAAUGCAAAGGAAAAUCGCAGAGCAGCUGGACCUUCCCACCCGGGUGAUUGAGAUGUUUGACAAGCAAGAUGAGGAGGAUGAUUUCAGUGGUAAGGAGGAGCUUGAUGUAUUAAAUUUUGGUCUUUCUCUAUAUGGAUAUCCCAAUAGCAGGAUGUUGUGGACCUUCCAAGGGAGGUUCCGGCUUGUCCCCAAGAUGAUAGACGGUGUGAAGAACAGCAGAAGAACAGAUGUUAUUCUUUCAGCUUCAAGUGACGUGCGGGAUCCACGUGAGCUUUGGAUGUAUUUAGUGCACGAGGAGGCUGCACAAGUUCCCUUCAGUAAGCAUGGUCACUGCAUCAUCGAUCCCGGGAUUGCUGCUGAAUGUGUUUUGUAUGCACUUAAGCAAUCCUGGAUUGGCUCUCGCAUCGUUGACUAUGACUGGGCUGUCCACACCAGUAACUAUUGGAUAUGUGAUGGUAUCAUUCCACUGACAGACAUUGAUAAAGCAUUACAAAUUGGCAAUGUUUUGCAGCAUGAGAUGCCAUUGUUAAACAUUGACACCCGGCUCAACAAUGAUGAAUCAGUAGUAAUAGCUUCCUACCACCUGGCAAUGUCUGCUGAGUGCAUGUCCUAUUGGAUUUCCACAACAACUUCAACCUCUGGAUUUGUAGUGAGCCCCUCCGGUGUAAUUCCCGAGAAUAUGUUUUGGCAUUCGCACAGGCUUGGCGUGAUCAAGCUUUCAAGGUGUACCUUCAGUUUCUCAUCGCCUCCAUUCCUCUGUUGCCACAGCUUCAGAUUCUUGUGGCUUGAUAAUUGCCAAGACCUCCUAACAGGAAGAAGUACCAUAGAUCCUCACCAUACAGAGGCAAAUAAGGAGUUGGGCAACAACACCAUGACAUCAUGGGAAUGCUUCCAAAGCUUGUGGGUGCUUGACCUGCGCUACACGGAUUUGGAUCAAAUCAUGUCCCCAUGGAUGAUGGAUCUCAUGAGCCAGCUCAGGGAGCUAAACGUGAUGGGAGCCAAGAGCUGGGACAUGAGCCAUAUACGAGGAUGGCUGCGUAAUGUUCGCAAGCUCCGGGUAACAAAGUCCAACUGCUGGUUCAACAACGAUGUGUUCUCAGAGAUGGAAAGUAUGGAGCUUCUUGAGUUUUCAGGAAAUACCAUCAGAGAAGGGAUGACAAACUUAUCUGCAUCAGCCAACAACAGUCGACUCAAAAUUGUCACUAUUGAUGGAUGUGAUGAGUUAAACAUUAUCUCUUUGAGGGACUGCAAAGAAUUUAAUAACCUAUUCAUGAAAAGGUUUUCGAGGGUUCUCGAGGUGCUGGACCUGUCAGGCACAAGUUUGAAAACCCUCAACCUCGAAGGAGUGGAAGACAGGUCACUCCCUAAGCGGAUUAUCCUGCUGGGCUGUGAGAAGCUCCGUGCAAUCUUGUGGCCACUGAAUGUGGAAAAGGGAAGGCUGAGGGAAAUUUUCUUGCACGUUGAUACCACCUCACCAUCAACAUCAGCUUACGGAGGAGAGGCACCAUUUGCACAUCCACAUGCUGAUCAAUCCCUCCAACGGCAAAAGGAAGAAAAAUAUAAGUGUGGAUGGCAGUUUUCUCUCAUGGAUACAAGGCUCCUUAGGUCGCUUUCUCCUGUAAGGAUUUAUUUGAAGUACUCGUCAAUACAUAUGGACAUUUUUCCUACAGCUAAUGUUGGUGGUAGGAACAUCCAAGAAACAAGCAGUGACACACUAGUGCAAGUCCAACCACAUACAAGUAACAUUAUGGACUCCAAGUACAGAGAUGCCUUGAAGGAAGGCCCAAUUGCAGCAAUGAUGAUGUGGGACUGCCCCGAGAUAUACAUUUAUUCACGUCUAUCUGUGUGUAGCAUAAAGAUGAUCAUGCACGGGCAGGGCAACAUACUUUUGCAGGAUGCUCCAAGUGCUAGUAGUAGCGCUUUAUUAUUGCCCGAUUUUGUAUGUGAGAUGGUUAUAUCACUGCACGUGUAUGAUAAUGCGUCCAUCACCAGUGUCCCUUCACCUCCCAAAGGAUCAGGAUGGAAUAGGCUAAGAUGGUGCCGAAUCGAGAGGUGCCCCAAGCUACACACAGUCUUCAUUGUUCCCCGAAGUCCAGACAUUCUCGAGACAUUUUGGGCGUCCCAGCUCCUCUCUGCGUGCUACAUUUGGGGCAGGCCGGUUAUAUCAUUCUUUAGAUUCAUGCGAUUCCUGCACCUGGACCACUGCCCUAGGCUCGUACAUGUGUUCCCCUUCACCAGAUGGGAGAGCAACUUCUCUCACCUGCAAACACUCGAGAUAGUGUACUGUGUUGACCUCAGAGAGCGCAUCUGUGGGCGCAGGAUAUUUGCACCUAAACUCGAGACCAUAAAGAUCAGGGGCUGCUGGAGCUUCAGGUGUCUGCCGUUCGUUGGACACGACACCAAGCCACCCAAGGUUGACUGCGAAAAGGAAUGGUGGGAUAACUUGGAAUGGGAUGGGUUGGAGAAGUACCACCACCCUUCCCUGUACGAGCUGACUCACUCGCUGUACUACAAGGCCAAGCUACCAAGAGGUAACCCAUCCCUUCAUGAACUGAUCUUCAGUUUCCGUCAACCUGCAUCUGCGCACCAUUACAAGUUUUCGAGCAAACGAGACGACCUGAGUGUGGGCAUUCAGCUUAUGUACCAUGAGCUCCUUAGUGCUCAUGUCGCUCUCGUGCUCCUUCUCAAUGUGUGA
Molecule: ribosomal RNA, 2967 nt
Filed under: Triticum aestivum (bread wheat)
Lineage: Eukaryota; Viridiplantae; Streptophyta; Magnoliopsida; Poales; Poaceae
Description: partial small subunit ribosomal RNA
Source: RNAcentral